CGACCGGCAAACGGGUGCGGAACACGUACAGAACCUUCCUUUAAGCGGGGGAUAGCCCGGAGAAAUCCGGAUUAAUACCCCAUAGUAUAUUAAAAAGGCAUCUUUUUGAUAUUAAAGAUUUAUCACUUAGAGAUGGCUGUGCGGCUGAUUAGGUAGUUGGUUGGGGUAAAGGCCCACCAAGCCGGCGAUCAGUAACUGGUGUGAGAGCACGACCAGUCACACGGGCACUGAGACACGGGCCCG
This 243-nucleotide ribosomal RNA is filed under the name uncultured bacterium. RNAcentral describes it as "partial 16S ribosomal RNA". It matches the Rfam family "Bacterial small subunit ribosomal RNA", at positions 92 to 334 of the family's 1533-position model. The record is from RNAcentral.